AUGGAGAGCGUCGAGCACCAGCAGCAGGCCGCCGCCCGCUCCCCGCCCCACGCCGCGGCGCCGCCGUCCCCGCCGCUGUCGCCCAACUCGGCGGCGGCGGCGGCGCUGGCGAACGCGCGGUGGACGCCGACCAAGGAGCAGGUGAGCGUGCUGGAGGGGCUGUACCGGCAGGGGCUGCGCACCCCGACCGCGGAGCAGAUCCAGCAGGUGACGGCGCGGCUGCAGAAGCACGGCCCCAUCGAGGGCAAGAACGUCUUCUACUGGUUCCAGAACCACAAGGCCCGGCAGCGCCAGCGCCAGAAGCAGCAGGCCUUCGACUACUUCUCCAAGCAGUUCCGCCGCCCCCAGCCGCUGCCCGUGCUCCACAGGCCCGCCGCCCACCCCUCCUUGCCCCCGAUCCCGCUGCAUCCGCCGCCACACGUGCCGUCGGCGACGACGCCGGAUCCUCCCGCUCCUCCUGCAUGCAACAGACAAGCGAUGUACGGGCAGCAGCCUAGCUACGUGACAGCGGCGGCGGCGGUGGCGGCGACACAGGCCGCGGCGAGUGCAUCCUACUACAUGCAGACGCAGGCACAGGCGCCGAUGUUGCACCCGAGAGUGGAGGCGGUGGCGCAUGACAAGGUCCCGACGCAGGCACAGGCCACCAUGUACCACCAGGCAGCAGCUCCGAACAGCGCCGGUACUCAGCAGCCGCGCGCGCUACAGCUCCCUCCGGCCGCUGGCACCCACGGGCCGCCCGACGCCCGCUCCCGCCGCCCCGAGACCCUGAACCUGUUCCCGCUGCACCCCACCUUCGCCAUUCCGGAGAAGCCGCGCCCCGCCGGGAUCGCCGGCUUCGCGACGCCGACGCCGACGGGGCCGUCCGCCUCGGGGUCGGGGUCGUUCUCUUGGGAGCCGGAGAGCCCCCGCGGCGACGCCUCGCUGCCGCUGUAUGACUUCUUCGACGUAGGCCGCUGA
Molecule: ribosomal RNA, 957 nt
Filed under: Triticum aestivum (bread wheat)
Lineage: Eukaryota; Viridiplantae; Streptophyta; Magnoliopsida; Poales; Poaceae
Description: partial small subunit ribosomal RNA
Source: RNAcentral